GAUGAACGCUGGCGGCGUGCCUAAUACAUGCAAGUCGAGCGAACAGACGAGGAGCUUGCUCCUCUGACGUUAGCGGCGGACGGGUGAGUAACACGUGGAUAACCUACAUAUAAGACUGGGAUAACUUCGGGAAACCGGAGCUAAUACCGGAUAAUAUAUUGAACCGCAUGGUUCAAUAGUGAAAGACGGUUUUGCUGUCACUUAUAGAUGGAUCCGCGCCGCAUUAGCUAGUUGGUAAGGUAACGGCUUACCAAGACGACGAUGCGUAGCCGACCUGAGAGGGUGAUCGGCCACACUGGAACUGAGACACGGUCCAGACUCCUACGGGAGGCAGCAGUAGGGAAUCUUCCGCAAUGGGCGAAAGCCUGACGGAGCAACGCCGCGUGAGUGAUGAAGGUCUUCGGAUCGUAAAACUCUGUUAUUAGGGAAGAACAAAUGUGUAAGUAACUAUGCACGUCUUGACGGUACCUAAUCAGAAGGCCACGGCUAACUACG
This 495-nucleotide ribosomal RNA is filed under the name uncultured bacterium. Its description in RNAcentral is "partial 16S ribosomal RNA". It matches the Rfam family "Bacterial small subunit ribosomal RNA", at positions 28 to 505 of the family's 1533-position model. The record is from RNAcentral.